UACGUAGGGGGCAAGCGUUGUCCGGAAUCAUUGGGCGUAAAGAGCGUGUAGGCGGCCCGAUAAGUCCGCUGUGAAAGUCCAGGGCUCAACCCUGGAAUGCCGGUGGAUACUGUCGGGCUCGAAUCCGGAAGAGGUGAGUGGAAUUCCUGGUGUAGCGGUGAAAUGCGCAGAUAUCAGGAGGAACACCAAUUGCGAAGGCAGCUCGCUGGAACGUAACUGACGCUGAGACGCGAAAGCGUGGGGAGCAAACAGG
This 253-nucleotide ribosomal RNA is filed under the name uncultured bacterium. Its description in RNAcentral is "partial 16S ribosomal RNA". It matches the Rfam family "Bacterial small subunit ribosomal RNA", at positions 524 to 776 of the family's 1533-position model. The record is from RNAcentral.